This 1151-nucleotide ribosomal RNA is filed under the name Rhodococcus (subgen. Prescottella) equi. Its description in RNAcentral is "Prescottella equi bacterial SSU rRNA". It matches the Rfam family "Bacterial small subunit ribosomal RNA", at positions 71 to 1236 of the family's 1533-position model. Lineage: Bacteria; Bacillati; Actinomycetota; Actinomycetes; Mycobacteriales; Nocardiaceae. The record is from RNAcentral.
AAGGCCCCUUCGGCGGUACACCAGUGGGGAUUGGGUGAGUACACGUGGGUGAUCUGCCCUGCACUCUGGGAUAAGCCUGGGAAACUGGGUCUAAUACCGGAUAUGAGCUCCUGUCGCAUGGCGGGGGUUGGAAAGGUUUACUGGCUGCAGGAUGGGCCCGCGGCCUAUCAGCUUGUUGGUGGGGUAAUGGCCUACCAAGGCGACGACGGGUAGCCGGCCUGAGAGGGCGACCGGCCACACUGGGACUGAGACACGGCCCAGACUCCUACGGGAGGCAGCAGUGGGGAAUAUUGCACAAUGGGCGAAAGCCUGAUGCAGCGACGCCGCGUGAGGGAUGACGGCCUUCGGGUUGUAAACCUCUUUCAGCAGGGACGAAGCGAGAGUGACGGUACCUGCAGAAGAAGCACCGGCCAACUACGUGCCAGCAGCCGCGGUAAUACGUAGGGUGCGAGCGUUGUCCGGAAUUACUGGGCGUAAAGAGCUCGUAGGCGGUUUGUCGCGUCGUCCGUGAAAACUUGGGGCUCAACCCCAAGCUUGCGGGCGAUACGGGCAGACUUGAGUACUGCAGGGGAGACUGGAAUUCCUGGUGUAGCGGUGAAAUGCGCAGAUAUCAGGAGGAACACCGGUGGCGAAGGCGGGUCUCUGGGCAGUAACUGACGCUGAGGAGCGAAAGCGUGGGUAGCGAACAGGAUUAGAUACCCUGGUAGUCCACGCCGUAAACGGUGGGCGCUAGGUGUGGGUUUCCUUCCACGGGAUCCGUGCCGUAGCUAACGCAUUAAGCGCCCCGCCUGGGGAGUACGGCCGCAAGGCUAAAACUCAAAGGAAUUGACGGGGGCCCGCACAAGCGGCGGAGCAUGUGGAUUAAUUCGAUGCAACGCGAAGAACCUUACCUGGGUUUGACAUAUACCGGAAAGCCGUAGAGAUACGGCCCCCCUUGUGGUCGGUAUACAGGUGGUGCAUGGCUGUCGUCAGCUCGUGUCGUGAAAUGUUGGGUUAAGUCCCCGCAACGAGCGCAACCCUUGUCCUGGGUUGCCAGCCCGUAAUGGCGGGGACUCGCAGGAAACUGCCGGGGUCAAUUCGGAGGAAGGUGGGGACGACGUCCAGUCAUCUUGCCCCUUAUGUCCAGGGUUUCCACAUUGCUAAAAUGGCCG